RNAcentral lists this ribosomal RNA (591 nucleotides) under Pichia manshurica. RNAcentral's name for it is "eukaryotic LSU rRNA". It matches the Rfam family "Eukaryotic large subunit ribosomal RNA", at positions 38 to 655 of the family's 3401-position model. The record is from RNAcentral. Lineage: Eukaryota; Fungi; Ascomycota; Pichiomycetes; Pichiales; Pichiaceae.
GCAUAUCAAUAAGCGGAGGAAAAGAAACCAACAGGGAUUGCCCCAGUAGUGGCGAGUGAAACGGCAAGAGCUCAGAUUUGAAAUCGUGUUUCGGCACGAGUUGUAGAGUGUAGGCGGGAGUCUCUGUGGAGCGCGGUGUCCAAGUCCCUUGGAACAGGGUGCCUGAGAGGGUGAGAGCCCCGUAGGGUGCUGCGCGAAGCUUUUGAGGCCCUGCUGACGAGUCGAGUUGUUUGGGAAUGCAGCUCCAAGCGGGUGGUAAAUUCCAUCUAAGGCUAAAUAUUGGCGAGAGACCGAUAGCGAACAAGUACUGUGAAGGAAAGAUGAAAAGCACUUUGAAAAGAGAGUGAAACAGCACGUGAAAUUGUUGAAAGGGAAGGGUAUUGGGCUCGACAUGGGGGGUGCGCACCGCUGUCUCUUGUAGGCGGCGCUCUGGGCGCCCUCUGGGCCAGCAUCGGUUCCUGCUGCGGGAGAAGGGGCUCCGGAAAGUGGCUCUUCGGAGUGUUAUAGCCGGGGCCAGAUGCCGCGUGUGGGGACCGAGGACUGCGGCUUCUGUCUCGGAUGCUGGCAUAACGGCGCAAUACCGCCCGUCUU